Molecule: non-coding RNA, 3500 nt
Organism: Lolium perenne
Lineage: Eukaryota; Viridiplantae; Streptophyta; Magnoliopsida; Poales; Poaceae
Source: RefSeq, a predicted model, not a curated record
GUCGGACGCGUCACGAAUCUAUUUGCUGUUUGACCGCCCUCGCCCAUCCCGCACUUGCACGACCGCAUCCUCUCCCGAUCUCUUUCCUCUUCAUUUUCUUCCAGAGAGCUGUUCUCACUAGGGUCGGUCCCGGCUCCGGCCGCCGCCUCCGUCCCGGUUCCGGCCGCUGCCUCCGUUCCUGCUCCGGCUGCCUCCGUUCCUGCUCCGGCUGCCUCGGCCCAUCUCCUGAGGUUGCUCGCUGCUUGCUCUCCUUCUUCCACAGAGCACCUCGAGAUUUUGUCCGCCAUAGCCUCGCAUGGGUCCUUCGAUGAGCAUGUUCCCCAAAAAUAUGAGGCCUUCAGAUGAGAUGGUCUACCGCCCUCCCUGUGGACCUUCCUCGGGCUAGGGCGGCCGAGCAGAGGUAUGGCGGGCGGGAGCUGGAGGCCCUCCGGAAGGAGGGACACUGGGACGGCGGGCGCCCGCCCGCCGCCCGGAAUCCACCUGCGUUGAUGUGCCCGCACCUGCCGGCUGCCGCCAGUCCGCCCGUCUGCUUCGUCGUUAUCUUUACCGGAUCCGGCAGCCGGUGCGCACAUCUGUGCCGGAUUACGGCGCCGCCGCCACGGUCGAGGCUAGGUGGAGGAGCUUGGGGUGACUGCUUGAUUGUGGAGGAGGGGAACGGAGCACAAGCCGUCGCCGUUGUGGAGUAGUAGGAGGACGAAGCACGGGUGGAUGGAUGUCUAGGAUCUUGGCCUAAAAUGCUGGUCGAGACCCAGCACCACUGCCGCCUCCCUGGAUCUGUCCUGCAGCGCCGGAGCGGUAGUCUCCUCCUACCUCCGGCCUACUGUUCCGCCGGCGACGCUUUCCUCUGACACCCGACACAGCCCCUGAUCUGGGUGAGGUGGAUCUGGCCAUCCGCUCCUGCGAGGUCGAGUUCACAUGGCAAAGAGACGAGAUAUCCUUGGCACCGAUCCGUCUAUCCCUGCCGACCUUCAGGUUCGCAUCCAUACCCGUGCAUCCAUUAGGUUACUUGGUGACCGGAUUAAUUAUUAGCUGAAGGUGACAUCGCUGGUAAGAUGAGAACAGUACCUGACGCGUGUGUGCAUGCAUCAAUCUAUUUAGCUUCUUCUGUAGCUUCGAGUGCUUCCUUUGAUUCAGUAUAUUUAGGCAUGUACCUUCAACUGUUUUCUUCGUACUGCACAACAAUAAAAGCAGAAGCUUACUCCAACAUAUUUUGGAGCCUUUUAUUUUCAUUGAGUAGACAAUUUUGAGCAAAGCAACAGAUUCCCCAUGUCGAACAAGAUGUAAUAAUUGUUGCUUAUAAAGACAAAUUGCAGACUAUUCGUUCCAUUUUGUCGGAAGAGACUGUUCCAGUAAGAAGGGUAAAGAAGACAGGAUUAUAACGUGCUCAAGAAUAAAGAAUAACGUUCCACUCAGAACGAUUUGGGUAGAAACUUCCAUGUUGCUUGCAUCUACUUGGAGAUAUUUGAGAAAAAAACCGAAUUGCUAUGGUUUAUUAGCAUGCUACUAGGGAGUAAAGCUUACCUUGAAAACAUUUUCCGUUAUAUGUCUACCAUGUUUGCAAAAUCUUAAACAACUUCAGAGCAAUGGAUCCUCCAAUUCAGAGAAUAUUGAGAUGGAUAAAGGAGGGAAAAUAGAGACAACGUUACUGUCAACUAAUCCCUUGUGUUAUAUUCAAAUGUUGAGUCUGAACCUGCUCCCCAGGUGAGGCAUGGCCAAACCAUUGGCACUGGUCCAGAGGCUGUCAUAUGUCAAUAUAUAGGAUAUCUAAACAUGUAAAUGAAAUUUCAAAUGUGCCUGUAGAAGUUCAAUUGGUGGGCUCAUGCUUGUUAUUUCUUCUAUUCAAGUAAUUGCACAUAUAUUUAGUGCAAAACUAAUUACAUGUAUUUUUUGUUAUCAAGAAAGAUAAUAGCUUUCAGACUAUAUCUCUGCACACAGAACUAAGUUAUAGUUCCUGCUACUCGACAUAUUUACUGUGUACUCAACUCUUCGACCGAUAGGAUCCUGCAUAUUGGUUCUGAACUUCUAAUUUUAUAUUUUAGAAGUAGUAACUCUAAUCUUCAAUGCAAUAAAUCAUAAUACCUGUAAUGUGCAUGCUGUUGUUUCCAGAAACAAUUAUGAGUUAUACUAAUUCCAUAUUACGCAGCUACUGAAACAUUGUUCUCUGGUAAAUUUAUCUUUUCAUCUCCUCUUACACAGGUUGCGCUGCUGAUGUGCACCUAACUUAUUUAUGUGUUUAACUGUUUAUAUUGUAAAUCCUAAUGAUUUGUGUAUCCGUGGAUCCAUUACGAUCUCAGCCCCUCAAUCUUAAUUUUGCGAGUUAGCUUAGUCCGCAGUAAUUUUUCACUAGGACACCCGCCCCCAUACCAUAGCAGUAACUUUGUUCUUUAGAAAACCCCCUGGCCUCCAAACUGUACCGUUCCCUCAUUGGUCCCAACGUCGAUCGGCUGAUGUAAUCCAAGGCUAUAUCAAACUGCUUUGUCACCUAUGUCCCUGGCAAUUAAACACUGGUGCUAGAUCAGUUUAUACUCUGUUUCGGUGACGCCGAUGGCCAAAGACGAGCGACCAUCAAGUGGCACACCAGAAGUUUCAGGUGACACAUACAAAUAUUCAGUGUGUGUGAAAUCUGAAUUGAGUAGCAGUGUGUGCGGCUAGAUGAAUGCAAUCAACAAGUUGCAGAUGCAUAUGAAUGGGGCAUGUUUUAGUAGACCCCCAAAAAAGUAGUCCUCUGUUUCUAACUUUGAAAAUUUCAAGAGAGAAGAAGUUUAGGCCCUGCUACGUGUUGCCUAUUCUUUUCCUGUAUGACUAGACAAAUAUUAGUAUGUAUGCUUUUCAUUUAUUCAGUUGACUACUACUUUCCUUACAAAAUGAACUUAGUAGCCUUAGAUGAUAAUUAUGCUAUCUGAAAUUCAAGCUCCACCCCAGCUAUAGGAGAAGCCAUGCUUUUUUCUAUAACUUCUCUUUGCUGUCCUGAAACUCAGUUAACUUCCUGUAGUUAAAUUCAGCUGAGCAGCCUUUUCACAUGUUUACUUGCCUGAAUCAAAUAGCAUCUUACACUAUAGCAGUCUAAGACUAUCCGACUAAACAAACAUUCAUUUCGGUAUUGACAUCCAUUUUGUUAUACUUGCAUACCAAAAGCUGAUGAGAUUACUAAUUUGUAAAUUUAGUGUGCAGUUAUCAUCAACUGUGUUGAACAUGUAGACACCGCUGGACCAAAUAGUCAUACAGCUACCAAGCACACUAGGCAAGAGGGAUAUGAAGCAUUUAUUGGCUGAAAUAUUCCUACUAAAGUUCAUAUACCAUGAUCUAAUAUAGUGGGAAGAUGCAAAAGAACAAAGAGAGGAAAAGAGACCAAUGAGGAGGAUCGAAAUAGAAGGAGAAAGAAGUGAAGGUACUACAUGAAGAAUGAUUUUAUCCAUGUUAUGAUUUACACUUUGAUGUCAUGUAACGGAUGAGAAUUCGCUUAAUCCUAAUUAAUUCGACUUUGUGACAGUUUUGAUGUU